Molecule: small RNA, 42 nt
Filed under: Paenibacillus sp. P22
Lineage: Bacteria; Bacillati; Bacillota; Bacilli; Caryophanales; Paenibacillaceae
Source: RNAcentral
UUUGUCAUCCUUGCCGAGUGUAGCGAUGCCGCUCGGCGCUGC